GACGAACGCUGGCGGCGUGCCUAAUACAUGCAAGUUGAGCGCUGAAGGUUGGUACUUGUACCGAUUGGAUGAGCAGCGAACGGGUGAGUAACGCGUGGGGAAUCUGCCUUUGAGCGGGGGACAACAUUUGGAAACGAAUGCUAAUACCGCAUAAAAACUUUAAACACAAGUUUUAAGUUUGAAAGAUGCAAUUGCAUCACUCAAAGAUGAUCCCGCGUUGUAUUAGCUAGUUGGUGAGGUAAAGGCUCACCAAGGCGAUGAUACAUAGCCGACCUGAGAGGGUGAUCGGCCCCCAUGGGACUGGGACACGGCCCAAACUCCUACGGGAGGGAGCAGUAGGGGAACUUCGGGAAUGGGCGGAAGUCUGAACGGGCAACGCCGCGUGAGGGAAGAAAGGUUUCGGGUCGGUAAACUCUGUUGGUAGGGAAGAAAGUUGGGGAGAAUGGAAAGCUCAUCAAGUGACGGUAACUACCCAGAAAGCGACGGCUAACUACGUG
This 497-nucleotide ribosomal RNA is filed under the name uncultured bacterium. Its description in RNAcentral is "partial 16S ribosomal RNA". It matches the Rfam family "Bacterial small subunit ribosomal RNA", at positions 28 to 507 of the family's 1533-position model. The record is from RNAcentral.